This 558-nucleotide ribosomal RNA is filed under the name Botryosphaeria dothidea. Its description in RNAcentral is "eukaryotic LSU rRNA". The stretch from base 183 to 336 matches the Rfam family "5.8S ribosomal RNA". Lineage: Eukaryota; Fungi; Ascomycota; Dothideomycetes; Botryosphaeriales; Botryosphaeriaceae. The record is from RNAcentral.
CAACGGGCUUGAUUCGGGCUCGGCCCGAUCCUCCCACCCUUUGUGUACCUACCUCUGUUGCUUUGGCGGGCCGCGGUCCUCCGCGGCCGCCCCCCUCCCCGGGGGGGUGGCCAGCGCCCGCCAGAGGACCAUCAAACUCCAGUCAGUAAACGAUGCAGUCUGAAAAACAUUUAAUAAACUAAAACUUUCAACAACGGAUCUCUUGGUUCUGGCAUCGAUGAAGAACGCAGCGAAAUGCGAUAAGUAAUGUGAAUUGCAGAAUUCAGUGAAUCAUCGAAUCUUUGAACGCACAUUGCGCCCUUUGGUAUUCCGAAGGGCAUGCCUGUUCGAGCGUCAUUACAACCCUCAAGCUCUGCUUGGUAUUGGGCACCGUCCUUUGCGGGCGCGCCUCAAAGACCUCGGCGGUGGCGUCUUGCCUCAAGCGUAGUAGAACAUACAUCUCGCUUCGGAGCGCAGGGCGUCGCCCGCCGGACGAACCUUCUGAACUUUUCUCAAGGUUGACCUCGGAUCAGGUAGGGAUACCCGCUGAACUUAAGCAUAUCAUAAGCGGGGAGGAGA